RNAcentral lists this small nuclear RNA (107 nucleotides) under Moschus moschiferus (Siberian musk deer). Lineage: Eukaryota; Metazoa; Chordata; Mammalia; Artiodactyla; Moschidae. The record is from RNAcentral.
AUGCUCACUUCGGCAGCACAUACAGUAAAAUUGGAACCAUACAGAGAAGAAUAACAUAGCCCCUGUGCGAGGAUAACAUGCAAAUUCAUGAGGCAUUCCAUAUUUUU